UGGGGAAUAUUGGGCAAUGGGCGCAAGCCUGACCCAGCAACGCCGCGUGAAGGAAGAAGGCCCUCGGGUUGUAAACUUCUUUUAUUCGGGACGAAACAAAUGACGGUACCGAAUGAAUAAGCCACGGCUAACUACGUGCCAGCAGCCGCGGUAAUACGUAGGUGGCAAGCGUUAUCCGGAUUUACUGGGUGUAAAGGGCGUGUAGGCGGGAGAGCAAGUCAGACGUGAAAUUCCAGGGCUCAACCCUGGAACUGCGUUUGAAACUGUUCUUCUUGAGUGAUGGAGAGGCAGGCGGAAUUCCGUGUGUAGCGGUGAAAUGCGUAGAUAUACGGAGGAACACCAGUGGCGAAGGCGGCCUGCUGGACAUUAACUGACGCUGAGGCGCGAAAGCGUGGGGAGC
Molecule: ribosomal RNA, 400 nt
Filed under: uncultured bacterium
Lineage: Bacteria
Description: bacterial SSU rRNA
Rfam family: Bacterial small subunit ribosomal RNA
Source: RNAcentral